Glycine soja is the source of this 1288-nucleotide RNA transcript. It is a transcript of the gene named structural maintenance of chromosomes protein 1-like, with no coding region annotated. NCBI's taxonomy places the organism in Eukaryota, Viridiplantae, Streptophyta, Magnoliopsida, Fabales, Fabaceae. The transcript is spliced from 7 exons. The record is from RefSeq and is a predicted model, not a curated record.
CGGUUUUGUCCAAAAAACCGUCUUUGUUAGGUUAAUAUCUCGUUCAUAUAUAUUGGAUAGUACUCAGUACUAUUGCUAACCCGAGAAACCCUAGCUAGCUGCCGCGCGUGCUCCCGCUCUGCCUUUGGUUCCGUUUCCUCCGCGCAGGAAGGCCAGCUCUGUGGCGGUUCUCGUAAGUUGCUGCUUCAACUGCUUCCCGAUGAAAUCUUCCUUUGUCGACCUCUCCAUGGAGAACAAAUCGACGUCUCCCUCGGAACGAGAACGAACGAGAACUAAAUGAAGAGAGGAGUACAUGCCCUGUUUUUUUGUGUUCCGAAAUAGAGGAAUAUGAAGGUGGAACAGUAACCGGCAAGGAAGUAGUUAAAAACAGGGAUUGGGAGAUGAAUGAAAGUGCCCGUCGAUUGAAUUUUUCAUUUUCGUUUUUGUUUGGUUUGAUGCUGAUUUUUUUUUAUUUGUGGUUGCGUUUCUAUUUGGGAUUCGCUGAUUAUACUAAGUAUUUUUAUAGAAUGGUUAGGUAGAGAUUUUCCUUCGUUGAUAUUAUUGUGAUUAAUUGUGCUUGGAAGGUUGUGCAGAUCUAAUUCCAAAGCUGGAAGGUUGUGCCAUGUGCACUUGUGCAGUUUUGAUUUGAUCCUAGCAUGUUAUACAUGGAUAGGGACGAUUCUGCAAUACCCCUUAAUACCUCAAUUAGAUACUCAUAUUUUCAGGUUACAUCCACGCACUAUACCAUAGAGGCCCAAAAGGAGCAUUACAAAUUCAAGAAACUGGAGAAUUAUAUGGUUUUGCCAAAUAUGGCUUCAAUAAAAGAUACCAAUGCCAUUUCAUACAAUCUUUGUGGUUUGGUUAGGAUGGCUAGUGGUGAUCUGAAAGUGAAGAGUUUCUCCGCCGUGGUGGGACCUAACGGGAGCGGGAAGAGCAACGUCAUCGAUGCGAUGCUGUUUGUGUUCGGGAAGCGAGCCAAGCAGAUGCGGCUGAACAAAGUUUCGGAGUUAAUACACAAUUCCACCAAUCACCAGAAUUUGGAUAGUGCAGGGGUUUCAGUUCAUUUUCAAGAGAUUGUGGAUUCGGGAACCAGGUAAACUUGGGAACCACACGAGAUCAAAUUAUGUCCGAGAGAAAAAGGAGACAGCUAAUGGCUGAGAGAUUCAUAGCGUUUUCAUCUAUUAUACCUGGCUUGAAGGUACUGUCAUCUAAAUUUCAAGUCUGCAUUGUAUUAGAUGUGUUGUUGUUGCUGGAUGUAUUGGUUACAUAUUAGUGUUAUCUAUAAAUUGAAUGAUUUUAUAUGUCUACA